RNAcentral lists this ribosomal RNA (108 nucleotides) under Sarcinomyces sp. SL-2011. RNAcentral describes it as "5.8S ribosomal RNA". The record is from RNAcentral. Lineage: Eukaryota; Fungi; Ascomycota; Eurotiomycetes; Chaetothyriales.
UUAUCCUCCCUCAAACCUCUGUGUUUGGUGUUGGGCCGCGUUGGCGUCACAGCCAACUGGUCUCAAAGACAAUGACGGCGUCCGUGGGACCCUCUUCGCAACGAGCAU